Molecule: long non-coding RNA, 2543 nt
Organism: Agrilus planipennis (emerald ash borer)
Lineage: Eukaryota; Metazoa; Arthropoda; Insecta; Coleoptera; Buprestidae
Exons: 5
Source: RefSeq, a predicted model, not a curated record
CCAUAAAAUUUAUAAAACAUUUAAAUAUAUAAUUUGUAAUAUUUUUCAUUAACAUAGCAGACAAUCUUGAGAUGUGAUAACAAUAGUUAUUUGCAAUAACGAUUAUCACCUGACAAAAGGAAGACGAUAAUAAAUACAUCAAUGUUCAAUAAGAUUUGAGUAAAAAAUGACAGUGCUUCUGGAGUAUAAAUGUUAGGAUCAAAUUCCGUCAACAAUCUAGAAAAACUCGAUCACAAUACGUUGUCACUAUUUUUUUCUCUCAUAUUAAUAUUAAUUAUUAAUUUAUCAUUAAUACCUAUCAUGUUUUAUAAAAUUCAAUCCCUUGAUAAAUUGGUUUAAUUUUUGAAUUUUCUAAUUAACAAUAAAUUCUAAAUUCCAGUUAUUAAUUGUUAUCUAAUUCCUAACUGAUAAGGCCAAUUUUUUUCGACUUUAAUUAACUUUUACUAUAAGUAUACAUGUGUUACAAUUUUGUUACUAAUAAGUCUAAAAGUGCAAAAAUACUCCAAUGUUUACCAUAAUUGCUCAUCCUUUGAAGUUCUACCUAAUUAUUGUGAGUUAUUUGCAGGAUAUCCCAUAAAUGGUGUAUACCUUUCAAAUGUGUAAUAUUUGAGGUUAUUUUAAAUUGACUCUAAUAGACAGUGUACGAUUUUUUUAAUUUUUGUUCUUACAUAAUUUUCUUGUGUUUUAAAAUUUAAAAUUAAGUAAACAACAUGAUGUUAUUGGCCGUAUAGCGCCAUCUUCUGGUAUUUACUCUCGCGCAGGUGUCCCGGUUCGAUUCCCAGCUUGUACAGUAUUUUUUUCUUUGAUUAAAUGUUACCUGCCUCAACGUAAAAAGGCGCAAAUGACUUGUAUUUUAUCCAAUUUUCACUAUGAAUUUGUGAGUCUUCAUACGCAAUUGAAAUAUUAUUAUUAUCUACCAUGUAUGGGGCACCCUUCGUGAUAUAUAUGUAUAUAUGUGCAUUGAUUUCGAUCAGUUUACACAUCUAAUGAGGGAAUAAUAACUUUUGAAAAUUAAAUGUUUAGAACUAGCAUCGCACCAUGAACUUUCAAUUUGUUUUGACUUGUAACAAUAAGGACAAGUCAUUAUUAAAAAGUAUUAAUGCUAUUAUUUAAAUUAAAAUUAAUUUAACUACUUGUAAAUUACGUAAUAUAUAUCUACACGAAGAUGAAAUUUGUCUCUAUAAUAUGUAUGUAUACAUUUAACAACAAUUUUUUUUUGAUAUUAACUACUACAAUAGACAGUAUAACGUGAUGAAAAUUAUUUGUCAGCUUUUUUAUUGUCGUUAAAAAAGACUGAAACAACCAAAAUUUAGAAUCAAUUUUUUUAUUUAAAAUGAUUCUGUAGCAUCGCGCAUUUCUGUUUCCGUGCUGUAAAUUUAACAUGGUUUUGUCGUUUUGUGUCUUUAUUCUAUUGUACUUGCGCGAUAUUAUUAAAUUACUUAACACCAGCACAAGCUGCGCUCGCAUUCGUAAAAUCCAAAAAUAUACUUGCAUUAGCUAUUAAAUGUACGAACAACAGUACAGCGCCUCCAAAAGUAAUGAAUAAUGCAUUGAUCAUGUCUCACUUAGUUCGAGCUGUCUUUUCCUUUAGUGACCUUAUGAACCUAACCAAUGGAACAAAAGUAUACCUGGUAUUUCUGUCAUGUGCUGGCGUGCAGUAUACUUCCAAGCUGGCUCUGGUGCCGUGUAUAUUUCAAGCGUCGCUUGUGCUGAUUUAAGUAUAUAUAGUCGACUCUCGUUAAUUCAAACCUGCGAUAAUUCAAACCUUUCUAUAAUUCGAAAUUAUCACGAGUUCCCUACAAAAUCUCUUUAUAUUUCGAACUUGGUAAUUCGAACGAAAAAAUCAUUGCUACGUAACAAAAUGUCGCGUUAAUUCGAACUCAUCGUUAAACACUCUACAAUUCAAAAUUGAAGAAAGAAACAGAAAGAUUGUUCAAAUUGUGAAAAUACAAACCAUCAUCAUCGGACAAUUAGAAAAACUACAAGGAGCAACCAAAAUCAAAACGAAUCGUCACAAAUACCAUAUUAUCCAACAAAAGAGAAGGAAUUGCAGUUAAUUUGGAUGCUACUGAAGCAUAUAUUGCUUUGGAUGUCUUCACUUUGCAACAUUAUGGAGUUAAUUUUAAACUUUCGAGGAGGAGAACUGGAAAUUAGUUUGGAAAUGACUGAAACAGCAGUGGGUUUUCUCUUGGAUUUGGCUUGCCCAUUACACAUGGAGACUUUAAAAUACUAUUUCCUGCGGUUAAUUAAGAUCAUCGAACAAAUGAGUUCAGUUUGGCUAUACUGAAACGGCCAAUGUCUACAUGGGUGUUGUCUUUUCUGGACUUGGUCUUGAUUUGCUAUUUUCGUCUUCACUUCGCAACCUAUGCAGUUAAUUUUCAACCGAUGAGUGGGAGCAACUGGAGACUUAUUUGAACAACAGACUUUCUGCUAUGGUAUUAAGGAUUUGGUUUACUUUUUACAUCUACAAACUUUGAGAGGUUGCAGUCUACAGUUAAUUAAGAUCUACAUUGGAGAAGACAAAGAUGACCCCGCAGUUGAAA